UCUAGGAUUAGAUACCCUACUAUGCUCAGCCAUAAACAAAGACACAAUCCGCCAGAAAACUACGAGCGAAAGCUUAAAACUCAAAGGACCUGACGGUGUCCCACACCAACCUAGAGGAGCCUGUCCCAUAAUCGAUAAUCCGCGAUAAACCUCACCGCCCCUGGCCCGCCCAGUCUAUAUACCGCCGUCGCCAGCCUAUCUCACAAGAGUUAAUGGCCAAACAGCAGCACAGCACUGCUAAUACGACAGGUCAAGGCGUAACUCAUGGGGCGGAGAAGAUUGGCUACAAUGCCUACCUACAAGGCUAAACGAAACAUACCAUGAAACUGGGAUAAGAAGAUGAAUUUAGCAGUAAGAAAGGAAAGAAGACCUUUCUGAAAUCAGUCCUGGGACGAGUACACACCGCCCGUCACCCUCAUCA
This 421-nucleotide ribosomal RNA is filed under the name Uromastyx aegyptia leptieni. Its description in RNAcentral is "partial 12S ribosomal RNA". It matches the Rfam family "Bacterial small subunit ribosomal RNA", at positions 771 to 1408 of the family's 1533-position model. Lineage: Eukaryota; Metazoa; Chordata; Lepidosauria; Squamata; Agamidae. The record is from RNAcentral.